RNAcentral lists this ribosomal RNA (3947 nucleotides) under Drosophila novamexicana. RNAcentral's name for it is "eukaryotic LSU rRNA". The stretch from base 541 to 3290 matches the Rfam family "Eukaryotic large subunit ribosomal RNA". The record is from RNAcentral. Lineage: Eukaryota; Metazoa; Arthropoda; Insecta; Diptera; Drosophilidae.
ACUCUAAGCGGUGGAUCACUCGGCUCAUGGGUCGAUGAAGAACGCAGCAAACUGUGCGUCAUCGUGUGAACUGCAGGACACAUGAACAUCGACAUUUUGAACGCAUAUCGCAGUCCAUGCUGUUAUGUACUUUAAUUAAUUUUAUAGUGCUGCUUGGACUACAUAUGGUUGAGGGUUGUAAGACUUUGCUAAUUAAGUUGUUUAAAAUUUUUCGAAGUUUUAAGCAUAUGGUAUAUUAUUGGAUAGAUUAUGUGUGUCCCUGAUAUGCAUAAUAUAUUCAUAAUAUUAAUAUAUAUAUGGAUGUACUACUCAUUGUAUAUUUUGUAUGAGAAAACUGAAGAAUUAUAUUUUCUUUUUUCAAAUCAAAUAAUACUGAGGAAUGUCUAGCAUAAAAGAAAAAUACAUUUUUCCUUCAUCUAGAAUUGUCUCUUAUUAAUGAUGUGUGAUAAAAGAAUUCUUGUAAAAUUUAUGGAACUUCAGAACAAAAGUAUUACCCAUUAUAUUGAACAAUAAAUAAUGUUCAAUUAACAUUGUUUUAUACAACCUCAACUCAUAUGGGACUACCCCCUGAAUUUAAGCAUAUUAAUUAGGGGAGGAAAAGAAACUAACAAGGAUUUUCUUAGUAGCGGCGAGCGAAAAGAAAUCAGUUCAGCACUAAGUCACUUUGUCUAUAUGGCAAAUGUGAGAUGCAGUGUACGGAACAUCAAUAUUCUAGUAUGAGAAGUUAACGAUUUAAGUCCUUCUUAAAUGAGGCCAUUUACCCAUAGAGGGUGCCAGGCCCGUAUAACGUUAAUGAUUACUAGAUGGUGUUUCCAAAGAGUCGUGUUGCUUGAUAGUGCAGCACUAAGUGGGUGGUAAACUCCAUCUAAAACUAAAUAUAACCAUGAGACCGAUAGUAAACAAGUACCGUGAGGGAAAGUUGAAAAGAACUCUGAAUAGAGAGUUAAAUAGUACGUGAAACUGCUUAGAGGUUAAGCCCGAUGAACCUGAAUAUCCGUUAUGGAAAAUUCAUCAUUAGAAUUGUAAUAUUUUAAACAAUAUUAUAAUAAUAGUGUGCAUUUUUUCCAUAUAAGGACAUUGUAAUCUAUUAGCAUAAAUAUUUAUCAUAAAAUUAUGUCUGAUUGCUUAUUUGAAUUAUAUGCUUGCAUUUUAACAUAAAAUAAAAGAUAUAAAUUUGAUAAAGUGCUGAUAGAUUUAUAUGAUUACAGUGCGUUAAUUUUUCGGAAUUAUAUAAUGGCAUAAUUAUCAUUGAUAUUUGUGUUUAUUAUAUGCAUUUGUAUGAUUAACAAUGCGAAAGAUUCAGGAUACCUUCGGGACCCGUCUUGAAACACGGACCAAGGAGUCUAACAUAUGUGCAAGUUAUUGGGAUAUAAACCUAAUAGCGUAAUUAACUUGACUAUUAAUGGGAUUAGUUUUUUAACUAUUUAUAGUUAAUUAACGCAAUCCCGGGGCGCUCUAUAUAGUUAUGUAUAAUAAUAUUUAUAUUAUUUAUGCCUCUAACUGGAACGUACCUUGAGCAUAUAUGCUGUGACCCGAAAGAUGGUGAACUAUACUUGAUCAGGUUGAAGUCAGGGGAAACCCUGAUGGAAGACCGAAACAGUUCUGACGUGCAAAUCGAUUGUCAGAAUUGAGUAUAGGGGCGAAAGACCAAUCGAACCAUCUAGUAGCUGGUUCCUUCCGAAGUUUCCCUCAGGAUAGCUGGUGCAUUUAACUGUUGUAUAAAAUAAUCUUAUCUGGUAAAGCGAAUGAUUAGAGGCCUUAGGGUCGAAACGAUCUUAACCUAUUCUCAAACUUUAAAUGGGUAAGAACCUUAACUUUCUUGAUAUGAAGUUUAAGGUUAUGAUAUAAUGUGCCCAGUGGGCCACUUUUGGUAAGCAGAACUGGCGCUGUGGGAUGAACCAAACGUAAUGUUACGGUGCCCAAAUUAACAACUCAUACAGAAACCAUGAAAGGCGUUGGUUGCUUAAAACAGCAGGACGGUGAUCAUGGAAGUCGAAAUCCGCUAAGGAGUGUGUAACAACUCACCUGCCGAAGCAACUAGCCCUUAAAAUGGAUGGCGCUUAAGUUGUAUACCUAUACAUUACCGCUAAAGUAGAUGGUUUAUAUUACUUGUAAUAUAAAUUUUGAAACUUUAGUGAGUAGGAAGGUACAAUGGUGUGCAUAGAAGUGUUUGGCGUAAGCCUGCAUGGAGCCGCUAUUGGUACAGAUCUUGGUGGUAGUAGCAAAUAAUCGAAUGAGACCUUGGAGGACUGAAGUGGAGAAGGGUUUCGUGUGAACAGUGGUUGAUCACGAGUUAGUCGGUCCUAAGUUCAAGGCGAAAGCCGAAAAUUUUCAAGUAAAGAAAAAUCUAAAUAUAUUUGUCAUCUAACCGAUUUUUAUACACUUGAAUAAUUUUGAACGAAAGGGAAUACGGUUCCAAUUCCGUAACCUGUUGAGUAUCCGUUUGUUAUUAAAUAUGGGCCUCGUGCUCAUCCUGGCAACAGGAACGACCAUAAAGAAGCCGUCGAGAGGUAUCGGAAGAGUUUUCUUUUCUGUUUUAUAGCCGUACUACCAUGGAAGUCUUUCGCAGAGAGAUAUGGUAGAUGGGCUAGAAGAGCAUGACAUAUACUGUUGUGUCGAUAUUUUCUCCUCGGACCUUGAAAAUUUAUGGUGGGGACACGCAAACUUCUCAACAGGCCGUACCAAUAUCCGCAGCUGGUCUCCAAGGUGAAGAGUCUCUAGUCGAUAGAAUAAUGUAGGUAAGGGAAGUCGGCAAAUUAGAUCCGUAACUUCGGGAUAAGGAUUGGCUCUGAAGAUUGAGAUAGUCGGGCUUGAUUGGGAAACAAUAACAUGGUUUAUGUGCUCGUUCUGGGUAAAUAAAGUUUCUAUCAUUUAUGGUAGUUUCUUGUUCCCCGGAUAGUUUAGUUACGUAGCCAAUUGUGGAACUUUCUUGCUAAAAUUUUUAAGAAUACUAGUUGGGCAACCAAUUAGUUCUUUUAAAUUAUAACGAUUAUCAAUUAACAAUCAAUUCAGAACUGGCACGGACUUGGGGAAUCCGACUGUCUAAUUAAAACAAAGCAUUGUGAUGGCCCUAGCGGGUGUUGACACAAUGUGAUUUCUGCCCAGUGCUCUGAAUGUCAAAGUGAAGAAAUUCAAGUAAGCGCGGGUCAACGGCGGGAGUAACUAUGACUCUCUUAAGGUAGCCAAAUGCCUCGUCAUCUAAUUAGUGACGCGCAUGAAUGGAUUAACGAGAUUCCUACUGUCCCUAUCUACUGGGGUUUAAUGGACCGAUGUAGAAGGGCAUGCUGCGUAUUUCGUAAAUCAUUAGUCAAGUCGACUCGAAGGCACAUUGUGCCCCACAUAUAAUUAUUAGUGGCCUCCUCGCGGUGACCCUGGGUGAUUGUCCGAGGUAUAUUCGGACAACCAGCUAAUUCGAGCGGCGAAAACAAUAAGACGACCCAUUCUUAGGCCGGUGGAGGCCAAACUGGGUAGUAUACAUCUACGGCAGUCGACCAAAACUGUAAGUAAAUUUGGUACCACGGGUAGCCAGGAGCCCACGGAACUUGUUCCGUCCUGACUUUUUGGUUGCGGCCCUUCGGGGAGUAUCGUGGUGGCUGUGGUUUAUACCCAAAGCGGGUAGAGCUUGCUCGACGUGGAGUUGCGUUUCAACCAAUACAUAGCUUUUUUAUGAGGUUUUAGACCGGCCUCACCUCCCACCAAUGAGGGAAUGUAUUGCCUCCGCCCGGCAUUCAUUCAAUUGGUACCGAAGGGAUACUGUUCGAGCAGGGACAGUGUCCUGGAGGGGCGAUAGUCCGACGCAUUGUUUCGGCUCGUUGUAUUUUCGAAUACCGUGAGAUUAAGCCAACAUGGCAGGUGCUCACGUUAAGCCCACUGACUUUUCUGUCCCUAUCUACUCAGUUUGUUCCAGACGUUCGUCGCGAGCAGACGUGUCGCGGAGUUAUUUUUGU